UGCGAGUCGCGGGAAAUUAGAUUCUCGGCGUACCGCUCAGUAACACGUGGGUAACCUGCCCUAUGCUGGAUAAUAACCUCGGGAAACUGAGUAUAAUGAUCCAUAGUUCACUACGCCUGGAACGGUGAGUGGAUGAAAGCUCCGGCGGCAUAGGAUGGGCCUGCGGCGUAUCAGGUAGUAGGGGGUGUAACGUACCCUCUAGCCCUCUACGCGUACGGGUGUUGGGAGACAUAGCCCGGAGAUGGAUUCUGAGACACGAAUCCAGACCCUACGGGGUGCAGCAGGCGCGAAAACUUGGCAAUGCGAGAAAUCGUGACCAGGGAACUCCAAGUGCAUCGGGUAAGACCGGUGCUUUUCUUGACUCUAAAUAGGUCUUGGAAUAAGGGGUGGGUAAGGACGGUGCCCGCCGCCGCGGUAAUACCGGCGCCUCCAGUGGUAGUCCCUUUUAUUGGGCCUUAAACCUCCCUAACCCGUCUGAUACCUUCCUGGGUAAAUCCACCCACUCCACUGGGUGGAUUCUGCGAAGACCGUCAGACUUGGGACCGGGAAAGGGGGGGGGGACGCUCCAGGGAAGGGUAAAAUUCUGUCCACCUGAGCGGAACCCCUGGUGCGAAAGCGCCCCCACUAAAACCGAACCGACCGGUCAAGGGACGAAGCCUAAGGGCAACGAACCGGGAUUAAAUAUCCGGGUAGUCCUAAGUGUAAACGCUGUGGGACUUGAUGUUUGGGGGUGCUUCCGAGCACUCUUAGUGUCGAAGCGAAAGUGAUAAGUCCACUGCCUGGGAAGUACGGUCGCAAGGCUGAAACUUAAAGGAAUUGGCGGGGG
This 826-nucleotide ribosomal RNA is filed under the name uncultured marine archaeon. RNAcentral describes it as "bacterial SSU rRNA". It matches the Rfam family "Archaeal small subunit ribosomal RNA", at positions 52 to 874 of the family's 1478-position model. The record is from RNAcentral.